RNAcentral lists this ribosomal RNA (252 nucleotides) under uncultured Bacteroidales bacterium. RNAcentral's name for it is "partial 16S ribosomal RNA". It matches the Rfam family "Bacterial small subunit ribosomal RNA", at positions 524 to 776 of the family's 1533-position model. The record is from RNAcentral. Lineage: Bacteria; Pseudomonadati; Bacteroidota; Bacteroidia; Bacteroidales.
UACGGAGGAUGCGAGCGUUAUCCGGAUUUAUUGGGUUUAAAGGGUGCGCAGGCGGAAUGUCAAGUCAGCGGUAAAAUUUCGGGGCUCAACCCCGGCCGGCCGUUGAAACUGGUUUUCUAGAGUUGGAGAGAAGUAUGCGGAAUGCGUGGUGUAGCGGUGAAAUGCAUAGAUAUCACGCAGAACUCCGAUUGCGAAGGCAGCAUACCGGCGCCCGACUGACGCUGAAGCACGAAAGCGUGGGUAUCGAACAGG